UGAAUCCGCGCGGGAGAGUUCCGGCCACAGGCCGGGCGCCGAAGGAGCAAGAUCCUCCCUUGAAUCUCUCAGGCCCCGUACCGCGUGGAUGAG
Molecule: non-coding RNA, 93 nt
Filed under: Streptomyces sp.
Lineage: Bacteria; Bacillati; Actinomycetota; Actinomycetes; Kitasatosporales; Streptomycetaceae
Also listed under: 1 other name
Description: Glycine sequence
Rfam family: Glycine riboswitch aptamer
About the family: This family represents the bacterial glycine riboswitch. Glycine riboswitches usually consist of two metabolite-binding aptamers domains with similar structures in tandem. The aptamers cooperatively bind glycine to regulate the expression of downstream genes.
Source: RNAcentral